RNAcentral lists this ribosomal RNA (588 nucleotides) under uncultured bacterium. Its description in RNAcentral is "bacterial SSU rRNA". It matches the Rfam family "Bacterial small subunit ribosomal RNA", at positions 102 to 688 of the family's 1533-position model. The record is from RNAcentral.
ACGGGUGAGUAACGCGUGAGAAUCUGCCUUUCAGUGAAGAAUACUCUCGAGAAAUCGAGCUUAAUGCUGCAUACGUCUUGAAAAAGAGAAAGAUGGCCUCUUGCUGUCGCUGAAAGAUGAGCUUGCGUACUAUUAGCUAGUUGGUGGGGUAAAGGCCUACCAAGGCGAUGAUGGUUAGCCGGCCUGAGAGGGUGUACGGCCACACUGGAACUGAGACACGGUCCAGACUCCUACGGGAGGCAGCAGUGGGGAAUAUUGCGCAAUGGGCGAAAGCCUGACGCAGCGACGCCGCGUGAAGGAUGAAGGUCUUCGGAUUGUAAACUUCUGUUAAGUGGGAGGAAAGAGCAGGCUUUAAUACAGCCUGAAGAUGACUGUACCAUUAAAGAAAGCACCGGCUAACUUCGUGCCAGCAGCCGCGGUAAUACGAAGGGUGCGAGCGUUAUUCGGAAUUAUUGGGCGUAAAGGGUGUGUAGGCGGCAUGAUAAGUCAAUUGUGAAAUACUCCGGCCUAACUGGAGAUAUGCAGUAGAUACUAUCUGUGCUAGAGGAUGGAAGAGAGAAGUGGAAUUCUUGGAGUAGCGGUAAAAUG